RNAcentral lists this ribosomal RNA (483 nucleotides) under uncultured eukaryote. Its description in RNAcentral is "SSU rRNA". It matches the Rfam family "Eukaryotic small subunit ribosomal RNA", at positions 695 to 1179 of the family's 1831-position model. The record is from RNAcentral.
GGCGUCCUCUCGGUGAGCGUGUUCGUGCUUGAUUGCAUGUCGCGGCAUCCGAGACUUUUACUUUGAGGAAAUUAGAGUGUUCACGGCAGGCAUACGCUUUGAAUAUAUUAGCAUGGAAUAAUGAGAUAGGACCAGUUUCCUAUUUUGUUGGUUUCUAGGAAUCAGGUAAUGGUUAAUAGGGAUAAUUGGGGGCAUUCGUAUGAAGAUGUCAGAGGUGGAAUUCUUGGAUUAUCUUCCGACGAACUACUGCGAAAGCAUUUGCCAAGGAUGUUUUCAUUGAUCAAGAACGAAAGUAUGGGGAUCGAAGACGAUUAGAUACCGUCGUAGUCUAUACCAUAAACUAUGCCAACUAGAGAUGGGAGGUCGUUCUUUUUAUGACUCCUUCCGCACCUUAUGAGAAAUCAAAGUUUUUGGGUUCCGGGGGGAGUAUGGUCGCAAGUCUGAAACUUAAAGGAAUUGACGGAAGGGCACCACCAGGAGUGG